This 1805-nucleotide unclassified non-coding RNA is filed under the name Hevea brasiliensis (rubber tree). The record is from RNAcentral. Lineage: Eukaryota; Viridiplantae; Streptophyta; Magnoliopsida; Malpighiales; Euphorbiaceae.
GUCGAAGCCAUUCCUUUCCAAAUACCAUGAACUAAAUCUCCAUUAUCCACAGAAUUUCUGAAACAAAGUAAAGAUGAUGAAUCUUUUGGCCCUUUCUCUUGUUUUCUCUUCGUUAUUUGCUGCCCAAGUAUGGUCGUCAAGCCUAGCAUCUGGGAAGCUCUACCACAAUCAGAAAGAGGAGGAUGUCAUAGUUAAAGAAGGUCACAGGGUGUCAUUGUUAUAGAGACUUAUGACGAAGAUGGCCAACACAAUACCAAGUCUCUAUCUCUCCUCCUCAGGAUCCUAUUUCCACCGCCGAACAUGACAAGUUCCUGUCUGGGAUGCUCGACAACGCCAAAGAAAAGGUGAAACAAGCCGCCUAUGUUAUUCCAAAUGUUGGCCAAGGCCUUUCUGGUUCUUAUCCUGACGCUAAAUCCAGUGAUGGACGAGGUCCUGGAGAGCUUAUAUGCGAUGCUUUUGAGAAAUGCGCUUAUAAUUUGCUAGAGUUAUUGGUAAAGCUAAAAACCAGGUUUCUGACAAGGCACAUGAAGCGGUGGCUCAACAGAAAGUAGAAAAUGCAUAUGAGAAAGCAAAGGAGACUGCGUCUCAAAAAGCCCACGAAGCGAAACAAGCAGUAGAAGAUGCAUGUGAGAAAACCACGGAUUCUGCGAUUCACAAAGCUCAGGAUGUCAAGGAAACUGCAAAACAAGCUGUAGGAGAUGCAUAUGAGAAAGCCGAGGAGUAUGAGAUCCGCAAAGCUCAGGAUGUCAAAGAAACUGCAAGAUAGUCCUUAGAUAAAGCCAAAGAGACAGGAAAGACGAUUGGGAUGGAAGCAGCAAGAAACGUCUCCGAGAAAGUGGACAAAGUUAAACAAUGCACAGGGCAAGCUAAAAGCAGAGUCUCUGAAUUUUUUAGCCAUAUGGGUUCAUCUGAGGGACUCAAUUCUUUGAUGGGUGUGGUGAGUCUGCUGGGUUUCGCGACGGCUUAUGGGAUGUGUAUGUAGGUUACAUUCAUUUCGAGCUAUGUUUUGGCUGGUACUUUGAUAAAGCACCAGUUUGGGAUUGUGCAGAGCAAGAUAUAUCAAGUAUAUUUCAGGGCCCAGGCUUAUUGUAUUGGAGCAGCUUUGUUGGGGCAUGUACUUGGCCAGAGAAAGAAGGUUUUUACCAGCAAAGCAGAGAUGUUCCAAGUGUAUAAUCUUCUUGCAUCGAUUUUUAUGGUUCUGAUCAAUACCCUGUACUUGGAGCGUUUAGCUACAAAGGUACCUCUGUUAGGUCACGGUUGAACUUGCUUGUUCAUGGUGGUAAAAUUAUUAUUAAGUUCAAUUCAUGUUUUAGCUGCUUGUAUAUAAUUUGCAGGCGAUGUUUGAGAAACUAAAGAUUGAGAAGGAAGAAGGUAGAGGAAGAGAAAUACCAAGUGGUGAAGGUAACAGAUGGGCAGAGGCGCAGCCAGUGACUGCAGCCGCACCAGUGGCAGAGAAUACAGAGCAAAGGGAAAUCAGUACAAGAAUAAUUAGACAGAAUGAGAGGUUGAAGAAGCUAAAUUCCUAUUCUUCCUUGCUGAACAUAGUGACACUGAUGGCUCUCGGCUGGCACUUGGUUUACCUAGGCCAGAACCUCCAUGGAAUUUGUUAGAGGAUAUGGAUAAAGGAUUUUCAUUUUACUGGUGUGUAUUGCUACUUUGUUGGGCUUUGGGAAGUGAAAAAUCUGCAAGGAAAUGUAACCAAGAAAAUAGAGUAGGAUUUUAGGUGUUCAAUUUUGAUGUAAAUUAUUUGGUAGUUCUGUAAAUUAAGAAAUCUAUAUUGUACUGCGUUGGAAUUCUCUCUCUCU